Long non-coding RNA from Brassica napus (rape), 1187 nucleotides. RefSeq lists it as uncharacterized. NCBI's taxonomy places the organism in Eukaryota, Viridiplantae, Streptophyta, Magnoliopsida, Brassicales, Brassicaceae. The transcript has 2 exons. The record is from RefSeq and is a predicted model, not a curated record.
AAUACGUAACGUUCCUAUACACUAAUUCUCUUGCGUUUAUAAUCUUCAUCAUGUCUUCCAUGGCUUAUAACAUAUUCAGCUCCAUCGUUAUAUGUUGGAAAAAUAUGAAUUCUACAUAAUCUCAAUGCAUAUAUUACUUACACUAUUAUAAACAAUCUCAUUCUUCGUACUAAAAUAUUAAGGAUCAUAAAAAUUACAACGAUACAUUCUGUAACAUUCCACAAAAGAUUAAACUAAAGAAUAUUUCUAUUUUGAUAAUAUUUUAUAUACACACUAUAUUGUUCCGUGUUCUUAAAAGAAAAAUUUCAAUUUUGUUACAAAUUUGAUAUUAUUUCCAAUUUUUUACUAAAAUAAAAAGUGAUAGCUAAUUUAUAGUAUUUAAAGCAAUUUUUCAUGAAUAAAUAUCCAAAAGACGUAUAUAAGGAUUUCCCAAGAAAAAAAAUUGUUUGAGAAAUUAACAACACUUCAAUAUUAAAAUUAAAAUCCCCCCUUUGUUCAGUUAAAUUAGCAAUAAUUCUUAUGAUAUUGAAGUAUAGGAUCUCAUUUUUAUUUCGUAAAGAAAAAGCCAUGUCCUUUUAUGAGUGAGCGGACGAAAUAUAUGAAAGAAGAAAAGUCUCUUUUUUUUACCAACUAAAGAAGAAAAGUCUUUGUGGAAUUUUUUUUUUUAAAACGAAUAAUUUCUAGUGAUGAUUUAUUUACUUUCUAUAUAUAUAUACAUGGUCUUUCGUAAUGGGCAAUGUGACAAAUUGGACUAUAAUGGCUACAAAGUCAUCAAGUUUAGUUUCUCUGGUUCUCUAUUUGAUUCUUCUGCAAUUAUUUGUCUCCUCUCAAGUUUGUCUUACGGAAGCUAGACGAAUUCCACGAAGAAUUUCACCGUCUCGCCGUCCCCCUCCCCCUUUCCGUCCCCCUCCCCCUCGUUAUUAUACACCCCCUUCGAGAUCGCCCCGAGGAGGUGGCCCAUAAGAAGCGUGUAUAAUAUAUGUACUCGUGAUCAUUUACCUUGUAAACGUAAUUGGUCAGUUUGAUGAUUAUGUUUUAUAUUAUUUGAUCCGUUAGUCUUUAUUAGCUCUUCAUAAAAUAUAUGUAACAUUCAAAAUAAGGACAUAAUGUCAGAAACAAUGUUACAAAUGAAGGCAAUGAUAAAACUUUAAGAGAGUGUAAUGAAGAUGAUAAACAUUUCUUGUCAA